This 64-nucleotide transfer RNA is filed under the name Nesophrosyne sp. 17 GMB-2012. RNAcentral describes it as "tRNA-Cys". It matches the Rfam family "tRNA". Rfam says of the family: Transfer RNA (tRNA) molecules are approximately 80 nucleotides in length. Their secondary structure includes four short double-helical elements and three loops (D, anti-codon, and T loops). Further hydrogen bonds mediate the characteristic L-shaped molecular structure. tRNAs have two regions of fundamental functional importance: the anti-codon, which is responsible for specific mRNA codon recognition, and the 3' end, to which the tRNAs corresponding amino acid is attached (by aminoacyl-tRNA synthetases). tRNAs cope with the degeneracy of the genetic code in two manners: having more than one tRNA (with a specific anti-codon) for a particular amino acid; and 'wobble' base-pairing, i.e. permitting non-standard base-pairing at the 3rd anti-codon position. Lineage: Eukaryota; Metazoa; Arthropoda; Insecta; Hemiptera; Cicadellidae. The record is from RNAcentral.
AGUCUUGUAGUUUAAUAAAAACUUUAAAUUGCAAAUUUAAAAAUGUUGGGAAUAUCUAAGACUU